CCUCAGGCCUGCAUUCGAUACGGGCAAACUAGAGUUUGGUAGGGGAGACUGGAAUUCCUGGUGUAGCGGUGGAAUGCGCAGAUAUCAGGAGGAACACCAAUGGCGAAGGCAGGUCUCUGGGCCAAUACUGACACUGAGGAGCGAAAGUCUGGGGAGCAAACAGGAUUAGAUACCCUGGUAGUCCAGACCGUAAACGGUGGGCACUAGUUGUGGGAACCUUCCACGGUUUCUGCGACGCAGCUAACGCAUUAAGUGCCCCGCCUGGGGAGUACGAUCGCAAGAUUAAAACUCAAAGGAAUUGACGGGGCCCCGCACAAGCAGCGGAGCAUGCGGCUUAAUUCGACGCAACGCGAAGAACCUUACCAAGGCUUGACAUAUAGGGAAAAGUGGCAGAGAUGUCAUGUCCGCAAGGGCUCUAUACAGGUGGUGCAUGGUUGUCGUCAGCUCGUGUCGUGAGAUGUUGGGUUAAGUCCCGCAACGAGCGCAACCCUCGUUCUGUGUUGCCAGCAUUUAGUUGGGGACUCACAGGAGACUGCCGGGGUUAACUCGGAGGAAGGUGGGGAUGACGUCAAAUCAUCAUGCCCCUUAUGUCUUGGGCUGCACGCAUGCUACAAUGGCCGGUACAGAGGGCUGCAAUACCGCAAGGUGGAGCGAAUCCCAAAAAGCCGGUCUCAGUUCGGAUUGAGGUCUGCAACUCGACCUCAUGAAGUUGGAGUUGCUAGUAAUCGUAGAUCAGCAACGCUACGGUGAAUACGUUCCCGGGGCUUGUACACACCGCCCGUCACGUCACGAAAGUCGGUAACACCCAAAGUCAGUGGCCCAACCGCAAGGGGGGAGCUGCCUAAGGUGGGAUCGGUGAUUG
This 862-nucleotide ribosomal RNA is filed under the name uncultured bacterium. RNAcentral's name for it is "bacterial SSU rRNA". It matches the Rfam family "Bacterial small subunit ribosomal RNA", at positions 613 to 1477 of the family's 1533-position model. The record is from RNAcentral.